RNAcentral lists this ribosomal RNA (690 nucleotides) under Salmonella enterica. RNAcentral's name for it is "partial 23S ribosomal RNA". It matches the Rfam family "Bacterial large subunit ribosomal RNA", at positions 1 to 1190 of the family's 2925-position model. Lineage: Bacteria; Pseudomonadati; Pseudomonadota; Gammaproteobacteria; Enterobacterales; Enterobacteriaceae. RNAcentral also lists the same sequence under 2 other names. The record is from RNAcentral.
UGAACUCCACAUCCGCAUCCUUUGCUGAGGAUACGGUUAACGGAGCGAAAGCGACGUUCAACCGCAAAACAAGCAGAGGGGGCUUAGUGGUGGGGUGACUGCGUACCUUUUGUAUAAUGGGUCAGCGACUUAUAUUCUGUAGCAAGGUUAACCGAAUAGGGGAGCCGGAGGGAAACCGAGUCUUAAUUGGGCGUUAAGUUGCAGGGUAUAGACCCGAAACCCGGUGAUCUAGCCAUGGGCAGGUUGAAGGUUGGGUAACACUAACUGGAGGACCGAACCGACUAAUGUUGAAAAAUUAGCGGAUGACCUGUGGCUGGGGGUGAAAGGCCAAUCAAACCGGGAGAUAGCUGGUUCUCCCCGAAAGCUAUUUAGGUAGCGCCUCGUGAAUUCAUCUCCGGGGGUAGAGCACUGUUUCGGCUAGGGGGCCAUCCCGGCUUACCAACCCGAUGCAAACUGCGAAUACCGGAGAAUGUUAUCACGGGAGACACACGGCGGGUGCUAACGUCCGUCGUGAAGAGGGAAACAACCCAGACCGCCAGCUAAGGUCCCAAAGUCAUGGUUAAGUGGGAAACGAUGUGGGAAGGCCCAGACAGCCAGGAUGUUGGCUUAGAAGCAGCCAUCAUUUAAAGAAAGCGUAAUAGCUCACUGGUCGAGUCGGCCUGCGCGGAAGAUGUAACGGGGCUAAACCAU